RNAcentral lists this ribosomal RNA (396 nucleotides) under uncultured bacterium. RNAcentral describes it as "bacterial SSU rRNA". It matches the Rfam family "Bacterial small subunit ribosomal RNA", at positions 355 to 768 of the family's 1533-position model. The record is from RNAcentral.
UGGGGAAUAUUGCACAAUGGGUGAAAGCCUGAUGCAGCAACGCCGCGUGAGUGAUGAAGGCCUUCGGGUUGUAAAGCUCUGUCUUCUGGGACGAUAAUGACGGUACCAGAGGAGGAAGCCACGGCUAACUACGUGCCAGCAGCCGCGGUAAUACGUAGGUGGCAAGCGUUGUCCGGAUUUACUGGGCGUAAAGGAUGCGUAGGCGGAUACUUAAGUCAGAUGUGAAAAUCCCGGGCUUAACUUGGGAACUGCAUUUGAAACUGGGUAUCUAGAGAGCGGAAGAGNAAAGUGGAAUUCCUAGUGUAGCGGUGAAAUGCGUAGAGAUUAGGAAGAACACCAGUGGCGAAGGCGACUUUCUGGACCGUAACUGACGCUGAGGCAUGAAAGCGUGGGGAG